CACCGCAGUCGCAUACGGUUGUUUCCAUAUGAACAAACUGUUUUUUUUAAGCGGAGUGCGGUGCUGAGAAAUUCGUAAAGCUCCUUUUUGAAACCUUGUAUUUUAUGUAACGGCCGUGCGGUGCAUCCAAUAUCCAAGCGGAAGGAGGUCCACACACUCCCCCGGCGCCGCCUGAGCGUGGUCGUCCUGCUCCGCACUUUAAGCACCGCCACCCCCACCAUCGCCCUCAACCCGUGAAACAUUACGCGAAAAUCGAUUUCGAUUGCAGGCGCAGGAAGAAACAGCAGAAAGUAUGUCUCACGGCGAUGUGGACCCAGAGUUAGAGAUGACAUCGCCCCACUGGAUGCAUAGGGAAGCUGAAAGUUGCCCAAGGAUGCACACAAUCUGGAGGCUAGAGCGCUGGCGGAGCAGCAUGCUUCUCCUAGUCGGACUGGCCUUGUGCGUCCUUCGGGCCCCUGGAUGCAGUGCCACGGACACGGACAUUGCGCUGGACGCCAAGGCCACGCUCAAUCACCGGAUCCAGAGCCUGGAUCUGCUGGUCUUCGUGUUCCUACUGGCACUCACAGUGCUCACUAUUUGGCUGUUCAAACAUCAUCGCGUCUCCUGGCUCCACGAGACCGGAUUGGCCGUCAUCUACGGCCUGAUUGUGGGAGCAAUUAUACGGUAUGCCGGCACCUCCGCCACUUUGGUUCACAUGCAGGUGGAGCCUCAAGGAGUUCCAACGUACAGCGAUAAAUUGCCGCCUGAUACACUUUGGUUUAGGUACCCUGUUAACCAAACAAAUAGCACAAAGCUACCCGAGGGAAUUAAGACAUAUGCCUACGUGUUUCGCGGACAGGUACACGAUGUGGAUGAAAAUGAAAUCGAUCUUAAGGCUACGUUCGAUCCGGAGGUCUUUUUCAAUAUCAUCCUGCCCCCAAUUAUCUUUUAUGCUGGCUAUAGUUUGAAAAAGAAAUACUUCUUUCGCAAUCUGGGUGCCAUACUUACGUUUGCCAUUGUGGGCACGACAUUGUCGGCCUUCCUGAUCGGAGGCUUCAUGUACGGCUGUGUGAAACUGAUGCCAAAUUACUUGAGUAGCAGUUUCUCAUUCCUGGACACCUUAUACUUUGGAGCCCUGAUAUCGCCCACAGAUCCGCUCACCAUUUUAGCCAUAUUUAACGAUCUUCGGGUCGACGUAAACCUAUAUGCGCUAGUCUUGGGCGAAUCUGUGCUCAACGAUGCCGUGGCCAUUGUCCUCAGUGGAGCCAUUCAAAAUUAUGGUGAACACUAUUCCGAUACUGGGGAAUUUGAAACUACAGCUUUUCUACGCUCGUUAAGCGACUUCUUCUCUAUCUUCUUACUAUCCCUAAUGAUUGGCGCGGCCAUGGGAUGCUUGACAGCAUUGAUGACCAAAUUUACUCGGGUUCGAGACUUUCCUUUACUAGAGUCCGCGCUCUUCGUGCUCAUGAGCUACAGCACCUUCCUGCUGGCUGAGGCAACAGAACUUACAGGAGUGGUGGCCGUGCUGUUCUGUGGCAUCUGCCAGGCUCACUACACGUACAAUAACUUAUCGGAGGAUUCCCGCCAAAGGACAAAACAGAUCUUCGAGCUCCUAAACUUUCUGGCAGAGAACUUUAUCUUUUCCUAUAUUGGCGUAUCAAUGUUCACCUUUCCCAAGCAUCAUUUUGACGCUGGGUUUAUUAUUACAGCUUUUAUUUGCGCUGCCAUAGGAAGGGCCGUGAAUGUGUAUCCCUUGUCGUGGCUGCUGAACAUAAGGCGCAAGCCGAAGAUUUCAUCAAACUUUCAGCAUAUGCUGUUCUUUGCUGGACUUCGUGGCGCCAUGUCCUUUGCCUUGGCCAUCCGAAAUACAGUGUCGGAUGCACGACAGACAAUGCUGACUGCCACAUCGCUGAUUGUCAUCUUUACGGUUGUAAUUCAGGGUGGGGCUGCCAAUUUCCUGCUAAAUUGGUUGAAAAUACCUGUUGGCGUGGACGAUGAGACUGAACAACUAAAUAACUAUCAAGUACACAGUUCUGAUGGUUAUUUGCAGGAUGUGGAGGGCGGUGGGGUAGGUCGCGGAAAGGUGCGCUUGUCCGGUGGAACAGAUUCAAACUUGGACACGCCAGUGGACGGUCCGAAUGGCAGUUUGGGCGGAGCAAGCAGCGGUCGUCGUCGCAACAGUCACGAGAAGGCCAUUCUGGCAAGGAUCUGGGGAAACUUCGAUACCAAGUACAUGAAGCCCUUGCUGACGCACUCGCGACCCACUUUGCUGGAGACGCUGCCCGUUUGCUGCAACCCCAUUGCUAGGCUGCUUACCACCACGCAGCAGCUUACGCAGGAUGGUAGCGAGUUCAGGCGCGUGGACUCGGACUCGGAUAUUUGCAUAGACAAUGAUACCGGGAACGGUCUUAGCCAGGAUGCAACCGGAGCGGUUCCGGGUUCGGGUGUGGGCGUGGGCGUGGGGCGGCGGAACUCCCUGAGUCGCGUAAGUAUCAAGUACACCGCCGAUAAUCACCAUCUACUUGCUAGUUACCGAAAUAUUGAAUAACCGAAUGAGCGAAGCACCCCAGACACCAAAGACUAAUCUAAGCGUAGCAAGCUGGCCACUAACAAAGUAACGAAAAACCUCAGAUAAACCAAAAUCCGAAUGAAUCUACACCAUAGAGACUUCGGCAAAGUAGACAUACAGACAUAUUGUUAUAUGAAUUGGCCGUGAAAAUGUGAUUUUUGUUUAGCGUUAUUUUGCUUUUGUAUAAUUUUAAUGUUAAAUUUGUGGUGUAAGCGGAAGAAGAUACAGUAAUUUACACCUCUCAAUAUGGUUGACUAAUUGUUUAAGUUUGUGCGACGGCAAGCGAUUUCCAGUAUAUUUAACACCUAUGUAAUAUUAUUUUGACUGUUAACUACUACUAAAUGCAUGCUUACCAAAUAUAACCAAAAUGUAACUACUCUCUCGGCGAUGAUCUAAUUUAUUUAUUGAUUUAUGCGGCAUCUUUCUUUCUUUCUGUCUUUCCUUCGACCAAUCAAUCAAUCGAUCAUCUAACAAACUCAUGCGGACUCUAUCAAUUUAACUUUGGUUGCUCUAACAACAAUAACAACAACUCCAACAACUAAUUACAAACUGCAUUCAUCCAAAAAAACAAUAAACUAUCUAUGUCAACCGGUCUCGUUUUAAUGCUAAACAUUGGUAAUGCCCAUACAAAAGUCUGUUCAAUUGAACGAAGCCCAUCACCUAGCAAAUGAAAUCAGCCUGGUUACUAAUAAUUUCAUGUAAUCGAAAGAUCGGGCCAUCUAUCUUUGUAUUUGAUUUAUUUGUUAUUUAUAUAUGCAUUUUUUUGUUCAAUUCUGUCUACUUUUCCUUGGUAAACCCACUGUUGAAACGAAGCACAGACGGAGACCCAGACAUGAUUAACUUAGAAACGAGUCAGUGAAAUUGAUAUCCGAUUAAUAACCAAAGCUUCUUAGAGCACAGCAGUCAGGAAUGUUCGUUUAUAUUGUUCACUUUUAAUUUCUGUAUUUUUCCUCAUAAUCUAAUUUCUUAGAUUCUAACACGCGACUAACCAUGUUGGAGGCGAUCAUCGAAAUGCUUACAUAUAAGUUCAAUUAGUGUUUACUUUUCUUUUGUUAUUUAUUGAAUUGGUCUCAUUUGAAAUCGAAAAUGUGAAAAAUGUACAAAUUAGAAUAUUACUUUUCAGUUUCUCCUUGUUUAUGAUAUGUGAUUCGGAACUCUAGUAAUCUAGUAAUAAACAUAAAUUUAAUAUCAA
RNA transcript from Drosophila santomea, 3740 nucleotides. It is a transcript of the gene named sodium/hydrogen exchanger 6, with no coding region annotated. The record is from RefSeq and is a predicted model, not a curated record. Lineage: Eukaryota; Metazoa; Arthropoda; Insecta; Diptera; Drosophilidae. The transcript is spliced from 13 exons.